Molecule: long non-coding RNA, 663 nt
Filed under: Monodelphis domestica (gray short-tailed opossum)
Lineage: Eukaryota; Metazoa; Chordata; Mammalia; Didelphimorphia; Didelphidae
Description: lncRNA (ENSMODG00000044981.1)
Source: RNAcentral
UGCUCCAGCAGACAACAGCACCAAUCUGGCUCUGGUGGUACUGAUGAAUAUGAUGCAUCAUCUUUCAGGAUCCCAUAGAUUAAAACACACAGAAUCCAGGACACUUUCUAUGUGAAGAAAAAGAGCACCUGUGAAGGGUAUUCAUCCCUCUGUGACUGAAGAAUUUAUUGUCCUUCCAGUCCUAUUUCAAAUGGAACUGAGAAACUAUGCCUAGAAGUUUUCUUAUUUGUUUCCUAACCUGAGACUGAAUCCUUUUGGAAAGAUGGAGUCAAAGGGAACUUUUUAAGCUGUACAGCCAUUUGCUCGAGUCUCUUUUGAGCUGUAUCCAUCUUCUUCUCUUCUAAACACUGGACAAAUGAGAGGGGGAAGAGAUGAGAGGCCCAAAGUACUUAACCUUGCUGGAGGAUGGGGUGGUUGAGGAGAGAUGAGUUAGAGGUUCAUGGAGAUAAUGGAACCAAAACAAGGGAAUGAAACAACAGCGAAGUGGGAAGAAAAAAAGAGGCAGUACUGCUGUUGAAAUGGUCAUAGAAGUCCUUUGUAAUUUUAGCCUCGGUUAAAUCAUCACAGAGACCCACAAUGUAUAAUCGGGGAAAGUCUCAGUGAGGGUGAUCUUCCUAUCUUGAAAUCUAUAUUCUCCUUCUCCACAUUGCUGUCUCACUCUGG